Molecule: long non-coding RNA, 455 nt
Organism: Eptesicus fuscus (big brown bat)
Lineage: Eukaryota; Metazoa; Chordata; Mammalia; Chiroptera; Vespertilionidae
Exons: 3
Source: RefSeq, a predicted model, not a curated record
GGCUCGCCCAAAAAGUAUGUCUGCUGUUUUUGAAGGGGCAAGUAGUAAUUACCGUUCCAGGGGAGGGAGCUGAAGAUUAAAUCCUGAAGUCUGCCCCAUUUGGAGCAGCAGCCUGGCUCCUGGUUGGCUGCGGCGUCAGGAAUACAUCAUGAUCCAGUCUAUUUCUAUAGAAGGCACUGAGACUCCUCCACUCAACAUGAGCUAGUCCAAAAAUGGAGACCCUGGCUCACCCAGCUUCCACCCCGGGUCCCUGGCAUUGUAACUGGCACGUGGGAAGCUUAACACAUAUUGUGAAAUGAUCAGGUCUUAUUUCAACCCUAAAAUUCUGUUCCUCUACUUUCCUUUAACUCACCAAAAUAAUGUGUGAAGAGCAGAAGUGAUAUUUAUGUGCCAUAAAUGUUUAUCUUUGGGCAGAUCAUAUUUUUGGCUGCAUCUGGUUUAAGCCUAUUUAUUUA